AAUAAAACCAAAACGAUUUUUCCUAGUGAUUUCAAACUUCUGUAGCUUAUUGUAUCUUCGAGAUCUCGUGAACCAAACAUUCGAAAAUCGCAAGAAACAAACACUCAAAAAUCUUGUACCCGGUAAAACAUGUCGGGAGGAGAUAUGGCUCUUUGAGGACUGCAAUUGAUCGAGAAUGUGAUCAGGAAUUGACUGCCUAUGCGAAUGCGGUUCGAGCAAUAGCUUUGAUUGCAAAUUAGACGGACUUUAUAAUAUCUUAAGGUGCUUGGCGAUAUUGGUCGUCUAAAGACAUAUAGGUUUAGAAAUGGUUUGAUCUAUGGUUUCCAGAAGAUUUAAGAGUUUUGCGACACUAAUUAUCCUGCACCAGAACCAGAUUCAACAGUUGAUUAUGUACGGUAACAGAUGUAUUUUGACCACUCCAAUAUGUUUUGGUCCGGCGUACACAUUUCUAGAUGUAAUCAAAAUUAAGUUCAUCGUGUGUCCGAGUUUUGAAGAUUGUUCCAUACAUUAAUGUAUUAGGUAUGAACAUGUGAAUUUUGAUUACAACCAAAAAUAUAAGCGAUAGUUUUGUUUGAUUAGAAAACUACUAAUUCGUAGUUCGAUGUUUUCACUUGAAGAUACCCCAAAGAUGCAAACACAAUUCAGUAUCUGUAGUUAAGUCAGGGCGCAAUAUAAUAAGUCGAUUAAUGUUUUCGUCUUGUAAAAUUUUUCAUAUUCGAACGCCUCUUUA
This is a long non-coding RNA of Malaya genurostris, 730 nucleotides long. RefSeq lists it as uncharacterized. Lineage: Eukaryota; Metazoa; Arthropoda; Insecta; Diptera; Culicidae. The transcript is spliced from 3 exons. The record is from RefSeq and is a predicted model, not a curated record.